GUCCCUGUGUUGUUUCCAGUGCGGGCCCCUCCCCCAGCCCACGCCUCGGUGUCUCUGUUCCCCGCAGAUGACGUGCCCCCCUAUUUCAAGACGGAGCCGGCGCGGACGCAGGUGCAUCUGGAGGGCAACCGCCUCGUGCUCACGUGCAUGGCCGAGGGCAGCUGGCCGCUGGAGUUCAAGUGGCUGCGCAACAGUCGGGAGCUGACCAGGUUCUCCCUGGAGUACAGGUACGUGAUCACCAGCCUGGACCGCACCCACGCCGGCUUCUACCGCUGCAUCGUGCGCAACCGGAUGNNNNNNNNNNNNNNNNGACAGACGGAGGUCCAGGUGGCCUACAUGGGGAGCUUCGAGGAGGGCGAGAAGCACCAGAGCGUCUCCCACGGAGAGGCCGCUGUCAUCCGUGCCCCACGCAUCUCCAGCUUCCCGCGGCCGCAGGUGACCUGGUUUCGGGAUGGCCGCAAGAUUCCGCCCAGCAGCCGCAUAGCCAUCACCCUGGAGAACACGCUUGUCAUCCUGUCGACCGUGGCGCCCGACGCGGGCCGCUACUACGUCGUCCCUCUGGCGCGGGUGGGGCUCAGAUGGGAUUCCCAGCGUCUGUUCCUCUCCCCAGAUGUCAGCGGCCCUGCAGACCCCAUCGCUCCAGCCAUCAUCAUUCCUCCCAAGAACACCAGCGUGGUGGCCGGGACCUCGGAGGUGACUAUGGAGUGUGUGGCCAAUGCCAGGCCUCUGAUCAAGCUGCACAUCAUUUGGAAGAAGGAUGGGGCGCUGCUGUCUAGCGGCAUCAGCGACUACAACCGCCGGCUCACCAUCCCCAACCCCACGGCCAGCGAUGCCGGCUACUACGAGUGUGAGGCCGUCCUGCGGAGCAGCAGCGUCCCCUCCGUCAUCCGUGGCGCCUACCUGUCCGUGCUGGAGCCACCUCAGUUUGUCAAGGAGCCAGAGAGACACAUCACAGCGGAGAUGGAAAAGGUGGUGGACAUCCCCUGUCGCGCCAAAGGUGUGCCGCCGCCCUCCGUGACCUGGUACAAGGACGCGGCCGUCGUGGAGGUGGGGAGGCUGAGCCGCUUCCGGCAGCGAGGCGAUGGGGGCCUGCAGAUCAGCGGGCUGGUGCCCGACGACACUGGCAUACUGCAGUGCUUUGCCCGGAACGCGGCCGGCGAGGCGCAGACCUCCACCUACCUGGCCGUCACCAGCAUNNNNNNNNNNNNNNNNNNNNNNNNNNNNNNNNNNNNNNNNNNNGACGGCAUGUCCGUGGUGCUGGCCUGUGAGACUUCGGGGGCGCCCCGGCCAGCCAUCACUUGGCAAAAAGGGGAGCGCAUUCUGGCGAGCGGCUCGGUCCAGCUGCCGCGCUUCACACUCCUGGAGUCGGGCAGUCUGCUCAUCAGCCCCACGCACAUCUCCGACGCCGGCACCUACACCUGUCUGGCCACCAACUCACGAGGGGCGGACGAAGCCUCGGCCGACCUGGUGGUGUGGGCCCGGACCCGCAUCACCAGGCCCCCCCAGGACCAGNNNNNNNNNNNNNNNNNNNNNNNNNNNNNNNNNNNNNNNNNNNNNCACGACCCCCGAGUGACCGUCAGGCACGUGUGGGAGAAAGACGGCGUCGCGCUGAGCACGGAGGGCAACCCCCGCACCUGGUCCGGGGACAUCGGCACCUACACCUGCCGGGUGCUCUCGGCCGGCGGCAACGACUCCCACAGCGCCCACCUGCGCGUGAGGCAGCUGCCUCACGCCCCCGAGCACCCCGUGGCGACCCUCAGUACCUCGGAGAGGAGGGCCAUCAACCUGACGUGGGCCAAGCCCUUCGACGGCAACAGCCCGCUGAUCCGCUACGUCCUGGAGAUGUCCGAGAACAAUGCCCCCUGGACGGUGCUCCUGGCCAGCGUGGACCCUGAAACUACCUCGGUGACCGUCAAGGGCUUGGUCCCCGCACGGUCCUACCAGUUCCGUCUUUGCGCUGUCAACGACGUGGGGAAGGGACAGUUCAGCAAGGACACGGAGAGGGUCUCCCUUCCUGAAGAGCCCCCCACAGCCCCUCCACAGAAUGUCAUCGCCAGUGGCCGGACCAACCAGUCCAUCAUGAUCCAGUGGCAGCCGCCCCCUGAGAACCACCAGAACGGCGUCCUCAAGGGCUACGUCAUCAGGUACUGCCUGGCCGGGCUUCCUGUCGGGUACCAGUAUAAGAACAUCACGGAUGCCGAAGUCAACAACCUGCUGCUCGAGGACCUCAUCAUCUGGACCAACUACGAGAUCGAGGUGGCCGCCUACAACAGCGCCGGGCUGGGCGUCUAUAGCAGCAAAGUCACCGAGUGGACGCUACAGGGGGUCCCCACAGUCCCUCCGGGCAACGUGCACGCCGAAGCCACCAACUCCACGACCAUCCGCUUCACCUGGAAUGCCCCCAGCCCCCAGUUCAUCAACGGCAUCAACCAGGGCUACAAGCUCAUCGCCUGGGAGCCGGAGCAGGAAGAGGAGGUCACCAUGGUGACCGCCCGGCCCAACUUUCAAGACAGCAUCCACGUGGGCUUCGUGUCUGGCCUGAAGAAGUUCACGGAGUACUUCACCUCGGUGCUGUGCUUCACCACCCCCGGGGACGGGCCCCGCAGCACCCCGCAGCUGGUGCGCACCCAUGAGGAUGUGCCUGGGCCUGUGGGACACCUGAGCUUCAGUGACGUCCUGGACACCUCGCUGAAGGUCAGCUGGCAGGAGCCAGGGGAGAGGAACGGCAUCCUCACAGGCUACCGGAUCUCCUGGGAGGAGUACAACCGCACCAACACGCGCGUGACCCACUACUUGCCCAACGUGACCCUGGAAUACCGCGUGACCGGGCUCACCGCGCUCACCACCUACACCAUCGAGGUGGCCGCCAUGACCGCCAAGGGCCAGGGCCAGGUGUCAGCCUCCACCAUCUCCUCGGGGGUGCCUCCAGAACUCCCCGGAGCCCCCACCAACCUGGGCAUUUCCAACAUCGGCCCGCGUUCCGUGACCUUGCAGUUCAAGCCAGGCUACGACGGGAAGACCUCCAUCUCCCGCUGGCUGGUGGAGGCCCAGGUGGGCGUGGUUGGGGAGGGAGACGAGUGGCAGCUGAUCCACCAGCUCCCCAACGAGCCCGACGCCCGCUCCAUGGAGGUGCCCGACCUCAACCCCUUCACCUACUACAGCUUCCGCAUGCGCCAGGUGAACAUCGUGGGCACCAGCCCACCCAGCCAGCCUUCUAGAAAGAUCCAGACCCUCCAGGCACCCCCUGACAUGGCCCCGGCCAACGUGACCCUGCGCACGGCCAGUGAGACCAGCCUGUGGCUCCGCUGGGUGCCUCUCCCGGAGAUGGCAUACAAUGGGAACCCCGAGUCGGUGGGCUACAAGAUCAAGUACAGCCGGGCAGACGGCCAUGGCAAGACGCUGAGCCACGUGGUCCAUGACCGCGUGGAGCGUGAGUGCACCAUCGAGGACCUGGAGGAGUGGACAGAGUACCGCGCUCAGGUGCAGGCCUUCAACGCUGUCGGGAGUGGGCCCUGGAGCCCGGCGGUGACGGGCCGUACCCGGGAGUCAGUGCCGUCCUCCGGGCCCACCAACGUGUCUGCGCUGGCCACCACCUCCAGCAGCAUGCUGGUGCGCUGGAACGAGGUCCCCGAGGCCGACCGCAACGGGCUUGUGCUGGGCUACAAGGUGCUGUACAAGGAGAAGGACUCGGACGCCCCGCCCCGGUUCUGGCUGGUGGAAGGGAACUCCUCCCGCAGCGCCCAGCUCACAGGCCUGGGCAAGUACGUGCUGUACGAGAUCCAGGUGCUGGCCUUCACGCGCAUCGGCGACGGGGGACCAAGCCACCCUCCCAUCCUGGAGCGGACCCUGGACGACGUCCCGGGACCCCCCGUGGGCAUCCUAUUCCCGGAGGUGCGGACCACGUCGGUGCGGCUGGUCUGGCAGCCCCCCGCUGCCCCCAACGGCAUCAUCCUUGCAUACCAGAUCACCCACCGGCUCAAUGCCACUUCGGCCAACGCUGCCGCUGUGGAGGUGCUCGCGCCCAGCGCCCGCCAGUUCACGGCCACCGGCCUCAAGCCGGAGUCUGUCUACCUGUUCCGCAUCACGGCCCAGACCCGCAAGGGGUGGGGAGAGGCUGCCGAGGCCUUGGUGGUGACCACCGAGAAGAGAGACCGCCCGCAGCCCCCCAGCAAGCCGGUGGUGCAGCAGGAGGACGUGAAGGCACGCAGCGUGUUGCUGUCCUGGGAGCCGGGCAGCGACGGGCUGUCCCCCGUGCGCUACUACACCGUCCAGACUCGCGAGCUGCCCAGCGGCCGAUGGGCGCUGCACUCAGCCUCCGUGAGCCACAACGCCUCCACCUUCCUCGUGGACCGGCUCAAGCCCUUCACAUCCUACAAGUUCCGCGUGAAGGCAACCAAUGACAUCGGAGACAGCGAGUUCAGCGAGGAGUCAGAGCCCCUGACCACCCUACAAGCCGGUCAGCCCGGCUCCAUCAUCCUACCCUCUGCCCUGCAGCCGCCGUCGGAGGACAAGAUCAACGGAAUCCUCCUGGGCUUCCGGAUCCGCUACCGAGAGCUGCUCUACGACGGAAUGAGGGGCUUCACGCUGCGCGGCAUCAACAACCCAGGGGCCAAGUGGGCGGAGCUCACCUGUGAUAAAAUGGCUUCUGGUUCAUAUGAGGAAAUUAACGACACCGCUCCAUCACGGCAGGAACUCAACCUGAACAAGCACCGGCGCUACGAGAUCCGCAUGAGCGUGUACAACGCCGUGGGCGAAGGGCCCUCCAGCCCCCCGCACGAGGUCUUUGUCGGGGAGGCAGUGCCCACAGCAGCGCCCCGCAACGUGGCCGUCCAUGGCCCCACGGCCACACAGCUGGACGUGACGUGGGAGCCGCCUCCGCUGGAGAGCCAGAACGGGGACAUCCAGGGCUACAAGAUCUAUUUCUGGGAGGCCCAGCGGCGGAACUUGACUGAGCGGGUGAAAACGCUUUUCCUGGCCGAGAACAGCGUCAAGCUCAAGAACCUGACAGGCUACACCACCUACAUGGUUAGCGUGGCAGCCUUCAACGCCGCCGGGGACGGGCCUCGGAGCACCCCCACCCGGGGCCAGACCCAGCAAGCAGCCCCCAGCGCUCCCAGCUCCGUCAGGUUCAGCGAGCUGACCACCACCUCCGUGAACGUGUCCUGGGGGGCCCCGGAGUUCCCCAACGGCGUCCUGGAGGGCUACCGGCUGGUGUACGAGCCCUGCACGCCCGUGGAUGGGGUCAGUAAGAUCGUGACGGUAGAUGUGAAGGGCAGCAGCCCCCUGUGGCUGAAGGUGAAGGACCUGGCGGAGGGGAUGACCUACAGGUUCCGCAUCAGAGCCAAGACCUUCACCUACGGGCCUGAGAUCGAAGCCAACGUCACCACAGGCCCUGGAGAAGGUAGGGGAGCCUUGGUGCCCAUCAUCGUGCGGUACAGCUCAGCCAUUGCCAUUCACUGGUCCAGCGGAGACCCAGGCAAAGGGCCCAUCACCCGCUACGUCCUCGAGGCUCGGCCUUCAGGUACGUCCGCCCAGGCUGAGCCGGCUGGGGGUCAUCGCGUGACCAGCAUGGACAUCCUCAAGCCAGGUGUGAGCUACGACUUCCGGGUCAUCGCAGUCAAUGACUACGGUUUCGGGACGCCCAGCAGCCCCUCCCAGUCUGUGCCAGCCCAGAAAGCCAACCCCUUCUACGAGGAGUGGUGGUUCCUGGUGGUCAUCGCCCUCGUUGGCCUCAUCUUCAUCCUGCUCCUCGUCUUUGUGCUCAUCAUCCGAGGCCAGAGCAAGAAGUAUGCCAAGAAGACAGACGCAGGUGAAGCAGUUUUCCUGCUCUGGAACUCAACAACCGGCGACUCUCUGUCAAGAACUCCUUCUGCCGAAAGAAUGGCCUGUAUACCAGGUAAUGGGCUCUCUGCGUGGGGUCCUGGGCGGGUGGAGGUGGGGCCGGCAUCGCCUGGGCCACAGAGCAGGCAGCAUGAUACUGAGUGGGUUGCCAUUUCCUCCUCCACAUCUGUAUCGGCAGGCGGAUUCUUUACCACUGCGCCACCAGGACAGCCCCCCGGGAAGCAGCAUUCGCUGGGAAUGGUCACUAGGCAGAGAGCCAGGCCCAGGCAGCUCCACAGCGGGGUGGGGAGAAAGUCACGAGGAGCUGGGGACAGAGGGUGUCUGCCAACCACAGCAGGAUGCAAAUCGCUUGCACAACUUUGCAAACCACUAACUGCUGUUUGGGGCCAAGUGCUCCUGGUACAGGCCUGA
RNAcentral lists this long non-coding RNA (6252 nucleotides) under Capra hircus (goat). Its description in RNAcentral is "lncRNA (ENSCHIG00010029582.1)". The record is from RNAcentral. Lineage: Eukaryota; Metazoa; Chordata; Mammalia; Artiodactyla; Bovidae.